Molecule: transfer RNA, 74 nt
Filed under: Actinia tenebrosa (Australian red waratah sea anemone)
Lineage: Eukaryota; Metazoa; Cnidaria; Anthozoa; Actiniaria; Actiniidae
Description: tRNA-Arg
Rfam family: tRNA
About the family: Transfer RNA (tRNA) molecules are approximately 80 nucleotides in length. Their secondary structure includes four short double-helical elements and three loops (D, anti-codon, and T loops). Further hydrogen bonds mediate the characteristic L-shaped molecular structure. tRNAs have two regions of fundamental functional importance: the anti-codon, which is responsible for specific mRNA codon recognition, and the 3' end, to which the tRNAs corresponding amino acid is attached (by aminoacyl-tRNA synthetases). tRNAs cope with the degeneracy of the genetic code in two manners: having more than one tRNA (with a specific anti-codon) for a particular amino acid; and 'wobble' base-pairing, i.e. permitting non-standard base-pairing at the 3rd anti-codon position.
Source: Rfam by way of RNAcentral
GCCUCCGUGGCGCAAUGGAUGAGCGCGUUGGACUUCUAAUUCAAAGGUUGUGGGUUCGACUCCCACCGGAGGUG